Long non-coding RNA from Homarus americanus (American lobster), 959 nucleotides. RefSeq lists it as uncharacterized. The record is from RefSeq and is a predicted model, not a curated record. The transcript has 2 exons. NCBI's taxonomy places the organism in Eukaryota, Metazoa, Arthropoda, Malacostraca, Decapoda, Nephropidae.
UCUGUGGUGGCAAGCUGACCGUGCUGCUCCGCGUCGUCUGGUUGGUACACCCCGCCGUCACCGCCACCCACACAUACACGCAGCUGGCCCUCUUAUCUCCUGCACCAGCUGCCACCACACACUAGCCUCCUCCUCUAGUACACUACAUCAUCCUUUAUAAUCCCUUGGGUAAACUUGACUCUAAAAAAAAAAUAUUAUUAUCGACAAGAAUCGGUUUUACGUGUCAGUGUUAUAUUACCCAAGGACGACAGAUAACGUCAACGCCACACACACACUCGAGUCCGUGGUUGAUGGUGUAAACCAGAGUGUUUGGGGUAACGAGUGAGGCAACUGAGAGGAAAAUAACCAGUGAUAGCCAAAAGGGAUAUAACGAGUGUGAUAACUGAGAGGAAGUCAAGAGGCGAUAGUGGUAGUGGUGCAACCUGGUCAAGCUUCCAGUGAAUGAUCACCGUGGCCUAGCUCACAACCCCACCGGUCCUCUUCUGCCCCCUCGUCUACAGUACCUCUCUUCUGUAUCAUCAACCAUUUCGUCCGUCUAUUGCCAUAUCUCUUUCUGUCUCUCUGUUACCUAGUGUUUCUCCACUAUAGGUUUGGUUCUCUUUCGUCUGAGAUCUCUUUGUCUUUUCUCAUUUUCUGGCGUUGAUUAGUCAUCGUUCUCUUACGCAUUGUGCUGCCUUGUGCCCUUCAUCCACACACAUUAUGCUUGCUGGUUGAUACCUCUAAAUUCGUGGAUGUGUAAUUAUUUAUACUUUUCAUGUGUGUAGUUACAUAUAUACCUGUGUGGUGAUCUUUACAGUAUAUACCCAUGUGGUGAGGAUCUGUCAAUAUACCUGCCUGGUGUUUACCUCUGUAUACUUGCGGGAGUUUUAACAUUCAGCGGUUUCUUCCCGCUGCACCCAAAAGGUUGCAGUGGGGGCCUGGUGACCGGUCCCGCCCCUCCCUCCACACACACUCCUCUC